GUGUAAUGCAAUGUUGACAAUAGAAAAUUAUAUUGGGAAGUUGUCAUUUCUACAGUAAAAACAGCUUUUUUUCAAGUAGUACGAAAUGUGACUUCGAUUUAUCUGUGGAACUAUUUCAACAGAAGGUAAAGCAGUAAUUUUGUUGUAUUUAGAAAGCAAACAGGGUCAUAUUUUAAAGAAAAUAGCGCACUAAAUAUAAAUUUGAGCAUCAUUAAAAUGUGUUCGCUAUGAUGCCAUUUUGUCUCCAGUAUAUACGGAGUACUGCAUUUAUACUGGUGGAUAUUCGAAUUUAUUUGGCUCAAAAACACCAUUACUUCAAUAUCCCUUUCUUGUUUUUCCUUGGAUAGGUUUUAACAAGAUAGAACUCUAGAUCACUUGGGUCCAAAAACGCUAGAUUAUAAAAUCCUGAUGUGACUUGAUACUACAAAUAGAAUAUGUCUUGUGAUGUAAUACUACAAAUAGAAUGUCAAACUUCAAUGAAUUGAUAAAGUGUAAGGAUAGUGUUUAAAGUCGCUUCAUGUGUAGAAGCUGAAUUACUUUAGUUUAUACACUGUAUAUUGUCGAGAUCACAUGUUGAUAUGACUUAAUACUAGCAACUUGCAAUAAUGCACCUGUCAAUGUUAACCCCCAGAGGGGGGGGGUCGGGCAUAUGUGGGGUAUUUGAUCAUCAAUUGCAUCCCCACCCUGGGGAUUUUGAUCAGCAUUUUGGCCCCAAGUUGGGCCAUUUGAACCAAUUAACCUUUAUUAAUAUAGUAUUUAUUGCAAAAUAGUGGGGCAUUUGACCAAUAUUUAUUGCCCGACGGUGGGGCAUUUGAUUGAAAAUUUGCUCAAAAAAUCAAAUGCCCCACCUAUGCCCGACCCCCCCCCCCCCUCUGGGGCUUAACAUUGAUAGGUGCAUAAGUGGUCUGUCCUGCUUGUUUAUAAUACUUUAGAGUUUGGACAUUAGAACAUUGUAAUUGCCUGACAGAGACUGUUUAUAGGGCCUGUUUGUAUGGAAGCCGGGCUGGCCCGCUUAGCGAGACAGCCCGGUAAGGUAUAUACACAGGAUGAUUUCUCUUGUGUUUAUUUGAGAAAAUUUCAUCCUGCUUACCGGGACUAUUUUGUUGUUUUGACAUUGUUUUGACAGUUGUUAAAAAUAGCUUGCGGCAGUAUCGUUGAACUUUCAUCCUGGCAACUGGGCUAGCCUGCUUGUGAUUGUUUAUAUGGAGAAAUUUCCAUCCUGGUCUCUGCAACAGGGCCUCCCGCUUGUACAUAGAAACAAUUUUAAUUAUAAUUUUUACUAUAAAAAUAAGUAGACAGCGAGAUCUCACUUACCGGGCUGUCUCACUUAGCGGGCCAGCCAGUUUCGAUAUAAACAGGCCCUUACACAACUGCUAAAAGCUGCAAGUUUCUUUAAAGCAAUAUCAUCUAUAUCACAGAAUACAGUUUCUGUAGUGACAUACUUCGUGUUUUUUCUGUCUUUAAAGUGUCUUAUGUUUGUAAUAUUUUUGUACAAUACCUUUUUGAAAUUGUUGAUACUGGUCUCAUUGUAACUCAGUUAUUCCUUCUCAAGAAAAAUAAAAAAACAAAGCUGUGUGGGUGUGUUUUUGCUCUUAACUAGUUUUUACAUCUACAUGAUUCAUGUACAAUUAAUGUACAUUUAAAUUAGCUUUGUUCAAUGAAUACAGGUGUGAUUCAAAUAUCAUUCCUGUCUGGUACUUGGGUCAAAUAGACAUAAGCAUACCAAAUCAUGCUAUGAAUUGAAAUACAAGUAUAGGGUGUGUAUUACUGUAUUGUUUAAAUAAAUAUAUUUUCCAGUUAACCCAGUAAGCUGCAUUGUGCCCCAAUGCACCCUACUUUACUAGUUUAUUUCACUUCAUCUAAUGCCAGAUGAUUUUACUUAUCGAGGGAGAGUGCUGCUGCUCAUUGAGCUCUGAUUGAGUUCACUGAAUGGCAG
This 1936-nucleotide long non-coding RNA is filed under the name Paramuricea clavata. Lineage: Eukaryota; Metazoa; Cnidaria; Anthozoa; Malacalcyonacea; Plexauridae. The record is from RNAcentral.